UGGGGAAUAUUGCACAAUGGGCGAAAGCCUGAUGCAGCAACGCCGCGUGAGUGAUGAAGGUCUUCGGAUUGUAAAGCUCUGUCUUUUGGGACGAUAAUGACGGUACCAAAGGAGGAAGCCACGGCUAACUACGUGCCAGCAGCCGCGGUAAUACGUAGGUGGCGAGCGUUGUCCGGAUUUACUGGGCGUAAAGGGUGCGUAGGCGGAUGUUUAAGUGAGAUGUGAAAUACCCGGGCUUAACUUGGGUGCUGCAUUUCAAACUGGAUAUCUAGAGUGCAGGAGAGGAGAAUGGAAUUCCUAGUGUAGCGGUGAAAUGCGUAGAGAUUAGGAAGAACACCAGUGGCGAAGGCGAUUCUCUGGACUGUAACUGACGCUGAGGCACGAAAGCGUGGGUAGCAAACAGGAUUAGAUACCCUGGUAGUCCACGCCGUAAACGAUGAGUACUAGGUGUAGGAGGUAUCGACCCCUUCUGUGCCGCAGUAAAACACAUUAAGUACUCCGCCUGGGAAGUACGAUCGCAAGAUUAAAACUCUAAGUGAAUUGAC
Molecule: ribosomal RNA, 545 nt
Filed under: uncultured bacterium
Lineage: Bacteria
Description: partial 16S ribosomal RNA
Rfam family: Bacterial small subunit ribosomal RNA
Source: RNAcentral